CAAUGGGGGGAACCCUGAUCCAGCCAUGCCGCGUGUGUGAAGAAGGCCUUUUGGUUGUAAAGCACUUUAAGCGAGGAGGAGGCUUACCUAGUUAAUACCUGGGAUAAGUGGACGUUACUCGCAGAAUAAGCACCGGCUAACUCUGUGCCAGCAGCCGCGGUAAUACAGAGGGUGCGAGCGUUAAUCGGAUUUACUGGGCGUAAAGCGUGCGUAGGCGGCUUUUUAAGUCGGAUGUGAAAUCCCCGAGCUUAACUUGGGAAUUGCAUUCGAUACUGGGAAGCUAGAGUAUGGGAGAGGAUGGUAGAAUUCCAGGUGUAGCGGUGAAAUGCGUAGAGAUCUGGAGGAAUACCGAUGGCGAAGGCAGCCAUCUGGCCUAAUACUGACGCUGAGGUACGAAAGCAUGGGGAGCAAACAGGAUUAGAUACCCUGGUAGUCCAUGCCGUAAACGAUGUCUACUAGCCGUUGGGGCCUUUGAGGCUUUAGUGGCGCAGCUAACGCGAUAAGUAGACCGCCUGGGGAGUA
This 522-nucleotide ribosomal RNA is filed under the name uncultured bacterium. Its description in RNAcentral is "bacterial SSU rRNA". It matches the Rfam family "Bacterial small subunit ribosomal RNA", at positions 369 to 882 of the family's 1533-position model. The record is from RNAcentral.